Molecule: ribosomal RNA, 546 nt
Filed under: uncultured Glomeromycotina
Lineage: Eukaryota; Fungi; Glomeromycota
Description: SSU rRNA
Rfam family: Eukaryotic small subunit ribosomal RNA
Source: RNAcentral
UUGGAGGGCAAGUCUGGUGCCAGCAGCCGCGGUAAUUCCAGCUCCAAUAGCGUAUAUUAAAGUUGUUGCAGUUAAAAAGCUCGUAGUUAAAUUUCGGGAUUAGUGCGCCGGUCGUGCCUUCGGUAUGUACUGGUGUUACUGGUUCCUACCUUCUGACGAACCGUCAUGUCAUUAAUUUGGUGUGGCGGGGAAUCAGGACUGUUACUUUGAAAAAAUUAGAGUGUUUAAAGCAGGCUCGCGCUUGAAUACAUUAGCAUGGAAUAAUGAAAUAGGACGUUCGAUCCUAUUUUGUUGGUUUCUAGGAUUGACGUAAUGAUUAAUAGGGAUAGUUGGGGGCAUUAGUAUUCAAUUGUCAGAGGUGAAAUUCUUGGAUUUAUUGAAGACUAACUACUGCGAAAGCAUUUGCCAAGGAUGUUUUCAUUAAUCAAGAACGAAAGUUAGGGGAUCGAAGACGAUCAGAUACCGUCGUAGUCUUAACCAUAAACUAUGCCGACUAGGGAUCGGAUGAUGUUAUUUUUAAUGACUCAUUCGGCGCCUUACGGGAAA